GUGUCCAGUGCCGUAAAUUGCAG
Molecule: microRNA, 23 nt
Filed under: Drosophila melanogaster (fruit fly)
Lineage: Eukaryota; Metazoa; Arthropoda; Insecta; Diptera; Drosophilidae
Description: Dme-Mir-978-v2_3p (mature (guide))
Source: RNAcentral